RNAcentral lists this ribosomal RNA (349 nucleotides) under uncultured microorganism. Its description in RNAcentral is "bacterial SSU rRNA". It matches the Rfam family "Archaeal small subunit ribosomal RNA", at positions 330 to 683 of the family's 1478-position model. The record is from RNAcentral.
GUGCACCAGGCGCGAAACCUCCGCAAUACACGAAAGUGUGACGGGGCCAUCCCGAGUGCCGUCCGCUGAGGACGGCUUUUCCCCAGUGUACACAGCUGGGGGAAUAAGGAGAGGGCAAGCCUGGUGUCAGCCGCCGCGGUAAUACCAGCUCUCCGAGUGGUGGGGACGCUUAUUGGGCCUAAAGCAUCCGUAGCCGGCUGGGCAAGUCCUCCGUUAAAUCCAACGAUUCAAUCGUUGGGCUGCGGGGGAUACUGUCCAGCUUGGGGGCGGGAGAGGCCGACGGUAUUCCCGGGGUAGGGGUGAAAUCCUAUAAUCCCGGGGAGACCACAGUGCGAAGGCUGUCGGCUAG